This is a non-coding RNA of Pelobates cultripes (western spadefoot toad), 125 nucleotides long. Lineage: Eukaryota; Metazoa; Chordata; Amphibia; Anura; Pelobatidae. The record is from the annotation of a GenBank genome assembly.
UAGAACAGCAGAGGGAGUGAGGUUAGGGGAAGUAUUGUAAGGGGAAGAAGAAAGAUGAGAGAUCUCUUCAUCUUUCUUCUUCCCCUUACAAUACUUCCCCUACCUCACUCCCUCUGCAAGUAGUG